RNAcentral lists this ribosomal RNA (301 nucleotides) under uncultured bacterium. Its description in RNAcentral is "partial 16S ribosomal RNA". It matches the Rfam family "Bacterial small subunit ribosomal RNA", at positions 509 to 807 of the family's 1533-position model. The record is from RNAcentral.
CAGCAGCCGCGGUAAUACGGAGGGGGCUAGCGUUGUUCGGAAUUACUGGGCGUAAAGCGCACGUAGGCGGCUUGGUAAGUUAGAGGUGAAAGCCCGGAGCUCAACUCCGGAAUUGCCUUUAAGACUGCCGAGCUAGUAGGUGAGAGAGGUAAGUGGAAUUCCGAGUGUAGAGGUGAAAUUCGUAGAUAUUCGGAAGAACACCAGUGGCGAAGGCGGCUUACUGGCUCAUACUGGACGCUGAGGUGCGAAAGCGUGGGGAGCAAACAGGAUUAGAUACCCGCGUAGUCCCUGUCUCUUAUAC